Molecule: ribosomal RNA, 429 nt
Filed under: Verrucomicrobiota bacterium
Lineage: Bacteria; Pseudomonadati; Verrucomicrobiota
Description: Verrucomicrobia bacterium partial 16S ribosomal RNA
Rfam family: Bacterial small subunit ribosomal RNA
Source: RNAcentral
UAGGGAAUCUUCGGCAAUGGGGGGAACCCUGACCGAGCAACGCCGCGUGAGUGAAGAAGGUUUUCGGAUCGUAAAGCUCUGUUGUUAAGGAAGAACGAGUGUGAGAAUGGAAAGUUCAUGCUGUGACGGUACUUAACCAGAAAGGGACGGCUAAUUACGUGCCAGCAGCCGCGGUAAUACGUAAGGUCCGAGCGUUGUCCGGAAUCAUUGGGCGUAAAGGGUACGUAGGCGGAUAAGCAAGUUAGAAGUGAAAUCCUAUAGCUCAACUAUAGUAAGCUUUUAAAACUGCUCAUCUUGAGGUAUGGAAGGGAAAGUGGAAUUCCUAGUGUAGCGGUGAAAUGCGCAGAUAUUAGGAGGAAUACCGGUGGCGAAGGCGACUUUCUGGCCAUAAACUGACGCUGAGGUACGAAAGCGUGGGUAGCAAACAGG